This 858-nucleotide ribosomal RNA is filed under the name uncultured fungus. RNAcentral describes it as "eukaryotic LSU rRNA". It matches the Rfam family "Eukaryotic large subunit ribosomal RNA", at positions 24 to 664 of the family's 3401-position model. Lineage: Eukaryota; Fungi. The record is from RNAcentral.
CCCGCUGAACUUAAGCAUAUCAGUAAGCGGAGGAAAAGAAACCAACAGGGAUUCUCACAGUAACUGCGAGUGAAGUGAGAAAAGCCCAGCGCCAAGGUCUCCGGCUGAUUGGUCGGUAGACGAUGCGGCGUUUGGUGGGCACGUUGUGCGCUUGCUGCAGUGGCAAAGUUCCCUUGACUGGGCUCGUGCUCCAUAGUGGGUGUGAGACCUUUAGCCGCUAGCGGUGGGUGUACUUAGUGCUCACUCAGAGUCGGGUUGUUUGAGAGUACAGCCCAAAGCAGGUGGUAAACUCCAUCUAAGGCUAAAUACUAACAGGAGUCCGAUAGCGAACAAGUACCGUGAGGGAAAGUUGAAAAGUACUUUGAAGAGAGAGUUCAAGAGUACGUGAAACUGUCUGGAUGGAAGCGGUUAGGGCCACAUGAGCCAGUCGGUCGGAUUCAGUCGUGACUUGCUGCGGUGUGCAGGUGCGGAUUUUGCCGGGUUCAUCCUCGGUGUUCCGUGAUCGGCCAUUUGUAGUUUGUUGCGGCGUACUUUCGGCCGGCGUACGGCAGCCGCGACCAGUUGACUGAGGUGCCACGUGCGUGGGGAGGUAACCGCGGGCGCUCCUUGUGGGUGCUGUUAACGUUGGUGAAUGCCUGCGCAUCGGUCCAAUCUCGGUCGACUGGGGAGCGACGCGCGACGUACGCUUCCUUCGGGAAGGUGCUUGCUGCUUGGUCGGGCCGGUGUGCGUGCUGCUGAACUGCGUAGCGGUGCGGUGGCUGCGUGCGCUUGCUGUCAGGCUGAGUGUGUUAGCGAAUGCGAGGUACGUCGUUGGUCAGCGGCUUGUUGGUCGCCUAUCCGUCCCGUCUUGAAACACGG